GUGGGGAAUCUUGCACAAUGGGGGAAACCCUGAUGCAGCGACGCCGCGUGAGCGAUGAAGCCCUUCGGGGUGUAAAGCUCUUUCGACAGGAACGAUAAUGACGGUACCUGGAGAAGAAGCUGCGGCCAACUACGUGCCAGCAGCCGCGGUAAUACGUAGGCAGCGAGCGUUGUUCGGAGUUACUGGGCGUAAAGCGUGCGUAGGCGGUUGGCUAAGUUUGGUGUGAAAUCUCCCGGCUUAACUGGGAGGGUGCGCCGAAUACUGGCCGGCUUGAGUGUGGGAGAGGGAAGCGGAAUUCCUGGUGUAGCGGUGAAAUGCGUAGAUAUCAGGAGGAACACCUGCGGUGAAGACGGCUUCCUGGACCACUACUGACGCUGAGGCACGAAAGCGUGGGGAGCAAACAGGAUUAGAAACCCGGGUAGUCC
Molecule: ribosomal RNA, 425 nt
Filed under: uncultured bacterium
Lineage: Bacteria
Description: bacterial SSU rRNA
Rfam family: Bacterial small subunit ribosomal RNA
Source: RNAcentral